GAAUGCAUUAAACUUAAGAAGGUGUAGCAGUAACAGGAGUGUGGCGUUAGCAAAAUGUUGGAAAUUACGACAUGAAUAAAAACGAACUGUGUUGAAUAAAAGCGAAUGAACAGGGAGUGUAACGUAUACGGCGAGGAAUAAUCGUAAUGCCAAGUUAGGAGAAUAAGUAUGGCAGAGGGAAACAUUCUCGUUGGUAUUUGUGGCACUAAGGACGAACAAAACAAUGAAUGGUAUAGUAAGGACGGUUGGUUAUACAAAUGGGUUGCAUUCCAUAUGCAAGUUCCUCGGGAAAAUUGUAUAGAAUCGAGAGGAAUGAAUAGACUGAAAUCGUUAGUCUUUGCAGAUAUGGAAGAAUUUGCACAAUAGCAUCUAAUAUAUGGAGGAGUUUCAUUACAACUGAAAGCUUGUUAAAUGAAGCUUUAAAAAUGACAACAGGGAGGUUUCUUUUUCAGGUCGAGAAGGAUUUCUUAUUCGAUUUUUAAUGAAAAUAUUCGAUAUCAAAAUUCUUUGUUUAGGUUAAAAUAUUUUGAUAAAGACUUAACGUUCUGUUCAUCCGAUCGUCUAUGGAAGAAAAAAGCCAAGUAAAAGUAAGAAUGUCUCGUGGUAAUUUAAAAAAAUGAAGUGAUCUCUCUUGAAUAGAAGUAGGCUGAUAAGAUAUGUGACACCCCGAAUCAUGUAUCUGAAAAAGUUAUACAAUAUUAUUUUAUUAUAAUGUGUAUAGCACCGUCUCCUACUCUAUAUACUCUUAUACCAUACGAUGAGUUCUAAUAAAAGCUUUGAAAGCUGGACAUUAACAAGAA
Bactrocera oleae (olive fruit fly) is the source of this 800-nucleotide non-coding RNA. Lineage: Eukaryota; Metazoa; Arthropoda; Insecta; Diptera; Tephritidae. The record is from RefSeq and is a predicted model, not a curated record.